RNAcentral lists this non-coding RNA (215 nucleotides) under Bacteroidia bacterium. Lineage: Bacteria; Pseudomonadati; Bacteroidota; Bacteroidia. The record is from RNAcentral.
AUCUUUGCCUUGAAUUUUGGUGUUAUUCAUUUCAUAUGGCUUCGAAAUGAAUGAUGAAAAGGGAAUCAGGUGCAAAUCAUGAACAGACUCGCUGCUGUAAGCUCCGCUUACGUGCCGGACAAAUACCUCCAUUGCCACUGCCCCGAUAAACCGGAGUGGGAAGGCGUCCGGACACGGGAGUAAGUCAGAAGACCUGCCAGAAUGUACAGAGUUUU